RNAcentral lists this ribosomal RNA (468 nucleotides) under uncultured bacterium. RNAcentral's name for it is "partial 16S ribosomal RNA". It matches the Rfam family "Bacterial small subunit ribosomal RNA", at positions 28 to 507 of the family's 1533-position model. The record is from RNAcentral.
GACGAACGCUGGCGGCGUGCUUAACACAUGCAAGUCGAACGGAAGGGCCCUGAUUUUGUGUGGCGCUUGAGUGGCGAAGGGGUGAGUGACACGUGAGUAACCUGCCCUUGACUGUCGGAUAACUUCAGGAAAAUGGGGCGAAUACCGCAUAGGAGCUCUUGAUGCAUGGGGGGGAUUGGAAAAUGUCGGCGGUUUGGGAUAGACUCGCGGCUUACCAGCUGGUUGGGGGGGUAGUGGCGUACCAGGGCUUUGACGGGUAGCCGGCAUGAGAUGUGGACCAGCGACAUUGGUACUGAGAGACGGCCCAGACUCCUACGGGAGGCAGCAGGCGGGAAUAUUGCACAAUGGGCGGAAGCCUGAGGCAGAAGCGCUGCGUGCGUGAUGCCCGCCUUCGAGUUAUGAACAGAUGUGUCCUGUGCCGAAGCGUGAGUGACGGUAACGGGUAAAGAAGCACCGGCUAACUACGUG